ACUGAACGCUGGCGGCAUGCCUUACACAUGCAAGUCGAACGGCAGCACGGGAGUAAUCCUGGUGGCGAGUGGCGAACGGGUGAGUAAAGCAUCGGAACGUGCCCAGUCGUGGGGGAUAACGUAGCGAAAGCUACGCUAAUACCGCAUACGAUCUGUGGAUGAAAGCGGGGGACCGUAAGGCCUCGCGCGAUUGGAGCGGCCGAUGUCAGAUUAGGUAGUUGGUGAGGUAAAGGCUCACCAAGCCGACGAUCUGUAGCUGGUCUGAGAGGACGACCAGCCACACUGGGACUGAGACACGGCCCAGACUCCUACGGGAGGCAGCAGUGGGGAAUUUUGGACAAUGGGCGCAAGCCUGAUCCAGCAAUGCCGCGUGCAGGAUGAAGGCCUUCGGGUUGUAAACUGCUUUUGUACGGAGCGAAAAGGCUUCCACUAAUACUGGGGGCUCAUGACGGUACCGUAAGAAUAAGCACCGGCUAACUACGUG
RNAcentral lists this ribosomal RNA (484 nucleotides) under uncultured bacterium. RNAcentral's name for it is "partial 16S ribosomal RNA". It matches the Rfam family "Bacterial small subunit ribosomal RNA", at positions 30 to 507 of the family's 1533-position model. The record is from RNAcentral.